Dermochelys coriacea (leatherback sea turtle) is the source of this 599-nucleotide long non-coding RNA. RefSeq lists it as uncharacterized. The transcript has 2 exons. Lineage: Eukaryota; Metazoa; Chordata; Testudines; Dermochelyidae. The record is from RefSeq and is a predicted model, not a curated record.
GCGUCGGAAGCAUUUGCGUCAUGGCGUCGCGUCGUAGCGUUUCUGCGGGCCGCGAGCGGAACGUGACAGCGUUGUGCCCUGCGCAGCGCCCUGGAAACCAAACAGUAAAGCCGGGCGCAGAGGAAGAUUAAAUCUGUCAAAUCCUUCUGUUUUUCACAAGCACAAAAGUCACGUGAAUUUCUUGAUGAAUAGACGAUUGCUACGUUUUCCCGAAGUUUGGAAUUGACUAAUACUGGAAAUCUCUGUGAUUACCUCAAGCUGCUCAGUAAUUACACAAAAUAAAAAUAGACUUAUGGAUAAUGAAUUUUCAAAACUGUAUUUAGAAAUAUCUAUCACUCUUCUUUGAUGGUGAAUGAUGCUGAUGUCUCUACCAUCAGACUCUGCCAUUGUACCCAUACUCUAGCAGCAGGUCUAGUCUGAUGAUGUAGGAUAGGGCUAAGGAAUGGAUCUCAUUUAAAUACAAAUCUCAAAAUUGUAAUUUCUCCCUACAUUCAAAUAGAAACUGCAUCUGUGCAGUCCUAAUCUAUAUGCCAGAUUGUUAAAAUAACAUUCAUAUUUGACUGUUAAUUCUGAUUUAAAUAUAUUUAAAACUCUUUGAA